AAAGGCGAGCUUCCACUUUUGCGCUUAUUUUUUUAAAAAUAUUCAAAUUAUUUUUUAAAAAAAGUAAGUGCAAAAGUGGAAGCUCGCCUU
This 90-nucleotide microRNA precursor is filed under the name Phlebotomus papatasi. Its description in RNAcentral is "microRNA mir-186". The record is from RNAcentral. Lineage: Eukaryota; Metazoa; Arthropoda; Insecta; Diptera; Psychodidae.